RNAcentral lists this long non-coding RNA (31796 nucleotides) under Arachis ipaensis. RNAcentral's name for it is "long non-coding RNA (AIPA_LNC001769)". Lineage: Eukaryota; Viridiplantae; Streptophyta; Magnoliopsida; Fabales; Fabaceae. The record is from RNAcentral.
AGAGUGUCCUGUUUUCAUUGCUGACCCUUUCUGUCUCUGUUCUGACUGCUGCACAUGAUCGUGAACCUAAGGAAAUUACCAAAGAAAAAACAAAUUUAAGAAAUUAAAAGAAAUAGAAAUAACUAAGUAGGGUUGGGUUGCCUCCCAACAAGUGCUUCUUUAACGUAAUUAGCUUAACGGUUAGCUACUUACGAAGAUAGAUAUGGGCUCAGAAUUUUGCCCCUUACAGUGAACUUUCUUCCUGUCUUCUCAUGAAUGAGCUCCACAAGCUCUAGAGACAGGACACAACUCACCGUAUGUGGUAUGACUGGCUUCUUGGUGAAGACAACUCUCAUGCCAGGUGAGAGGCCUUCAGUGGAGACUUUCUUGUCCCUCCAGCCUUUAGGUACUUUCUUCCUAGUACCUUUGCUCGCAAGGCUUGUUAAUGGCUGCCCAACACCAAAAUUAGAAUGGAUGUUUGGGGGUUUAGUAAAGCUCUGCACUAAAAAUGAUGGUUGGAACACUAAGUGUUGCACAGUUAUCUCUAUUUUCUCAGAGGGAGAGUUGGGGUGAGACAUCUUGAACAAGAUGUGAUCCUCCCCUAGUUCUAAAAUUAGUUCUCCCUUAGCUACAUCAAUGAUAGCAUUGGCAGUUGCUAGAAAAGGUCUUCCAAGGAUGAUAGAUUCAUCCUCAUCUUCCCCAGUAUCUAAGAUAAUGAAGUUUUCAGGGAUGUAAAAGGUUUUCAACCUUCACCAAGACAUCUUCUACUAAGCUAGAUGCUUUCUUCAUUGAUUUGUCUGCCAUCUCAAGUGAGAUAUUUGCAGGUUGUACCUCAAAGAUGCCCAGCUUCUCCAUUACAAAGAGUGGCAUGAGGUUUACACUUGACCAUAGGUCACACAAAGCCUUCUCAAAGGUUAUGGAGCCUAUGGUUCAAGGAAUUAGGAAGCAUCCGGGAUCCGAAAGCUUCUGAGGUAGCUUCUGCUGGAGUUCUUUGGUAAGCACUGGAGGUUCUUUCUCCAAAGGUCUUGUACCAAACAGCUUGGCAUUUAGCUUCAUGAGAGCUCUUAGGUACCGAUCAACUUGCUCUUCCCUAGUGUCCUCAUCCUCAUCAGAGGAUGAGUAUUCAUCAGAACUUAUGCACUGUAGGAGUGCAUGCAAGGGAACCUCUAUGGUGAUAUGAGCCUUGGAUUCCUUUAAUUCUUGGAUAGGAGUUUCUUCAGUGGAUGCUGAAUACUCAGUAGGUAUGACAUUACUGGAGUUUAACGCCAGUUCUGGUCGUUCUUUGGGCGUUGAAUGCCUAGUGAGGCUACCUCACUGGCGUUCAGCACCAGCUUUAAUGGUUGUUUGGGCGUUGAAUGCCCAGUGAGGUAUUCCUCACUGGCGUUCAAUGCCAGCUCUUGUGCCAGCUUGGGCGUUGAAUGCCCAGUGAAGACCUCCUCACUGCCGUUCAGCGCCAGGCUCUUGGCCAUUUUGGGGGUUGAACGCCUAGUGAGGGCUUCCUUACUGGCGUUCAACGCCAGCUUCUGUGCCAGCUUGGACGUUGAACGCCUAGUGAGGUCUUCCUCACUGGCGUUCAAUGCCAUCCUAGUCUCUCCAGAUUUGGCCUCAGCCUCUCUGGUGAUGGCCUUGUACUCUUCUCUUGGGUUUACUUCUGUGUUACUAGGAAGAGUGUCAGGAGGAGUCUCAGGGAUUUUCUUGCUCAGUUGACCGACUUGUAUCUCCAAAUUUCUAAUGGAGGAUCUUGUUUUAGUUAUGAAACUAUAAGUGGUCUUAGAGAGGCUGGAGACUAUAGUGACUAAGUCAGAAAAGCUCUGCUUAAGAGUCUCCAUAUGUUCCUGAGAAGAUGGGAAUGGUGGUCUGUUGAUGAACCUGUUCUGAGUUCUUCCACUUUGGUUAGUGUUGAAGCCUAGCUGAGGCUUCUAUUGAUCCUUCCAUGAAAGAUUAGGAUGAUUCCUCCAUGAAGGAUUGUAGGUGUUUCCAUAGGGUUCUCCCAUGUAAUUCACCUCUUCUAUGGUGGGUUGUUCAGGAUUAUAAGCUUCUACUUCAGAAGAAGCUUCUUGAGUGCUGCCAGCUGCAGCUUACAUUCCAGUCAAAUGUUGAAAGAUCAUAUUGAAUAGCUAGGUCAAGAUCUUAUUUUGAGCCAAUAUGGCAUUCAAAGUGUCUACUUCAAGAACUACUUUCUUCUAAGGAACCCCAUUGUUCACAGGAUUUCUCUCAGAGGUGUACAUGAAUUGGAGUUAACCAUCUCAAUCAGUUCUCUUGCUUCUACAGGCAUUUUCUUCAAGUGGAGUGAUCCACCUACAGAGCUGUCCAAUGAUAUUUUUGACAUCUCAGAUAGACCAUCAUAAAAAAUUCCUAGGAUAGACCAUUCUGAGAGCAUGUCAGGAGGACACCUCCUGAUCAGUUGCUUGUAUCUUUCCCAAGCAUCACAGAGGGAUUCACCUUCUUUUUAUCUGAAGGUUUGAACUUUCACUCUGGUUUUUCUCAUCCUUUGAGAAGGAAAAAAUUUAGCCAAGAAAGCAUUGACCAGCUUCUCCCAAGAGUCUAGGCUUUCUUUAGGUUGAGAGUCUAACCAUAUCCUAACUCUGUCUCUAACAGCAAAAGGAAAGAGCAUAAGUCUGUAGACCUCAGGAUUCACUCCAUUGGUCUUACAGUGUCACAAAUUUGAAAGAAUUCUGAUAGGAAUUGGUGUGGAUCUUCUAGUAGAAGUCCAUGAAAUUUGCAAUUCUGUUGCAUUAGAGAGACUAACUGAGGCUUAAGCUCAAAGUUGUUAGCUCCAAUGGCAAGUAUAGAGAUGCUUCUGCCAUAGAAAUCAGAGGUAGGCAUGGUGAAGUCACCAAGAACCUUUCUUGCCUCUCCUUCAUGAUUAGGUUCGGCUGCCAUGUUCUCUACCUCUUAUUCAAAAUUUUCAGAAAGGUUUCUUCUGGAAUGUUGUACUUUAAUUUGUUGUAAGCUCCUCCUUCAAGUCCUCUCAGGUUCAGGAUCAAGAUUAAAGAGAGGCUCUUUAUCUCUGUUCCUGGUCAUAAACCAAGAAGAAUAAAGGGGAAAGAGCAUAAGUCUGUAGACUUCAGGAUUCACUCCAUUGUCUUAAUAGUGUCACAGAUUUGCAAGAAUUUAGCUAGGAAGUCCAUGAAACUUGCAAUUCUGUUGCAGAAGAGAAACUAACUAAGGCUUAAGCUCAAAGUUGUUAGCUCCAAUGGAUGGUAUGGAAAUACUUCUUCCAUAGAAGUCAGAGGUAGGUAUGGUGUAGUCACCAAGAACCUCUGUUGUAUCUCCUCCAUGAUUAGGCUCGCCUGCCAUGUUGUCAACUUCUUAUUCGAAAUUUUCUAAGAGGUUUCUUCUAAAGUGUUGUACAUUAGCUUGUUGUAAACGCCUCUUUAGAGUUUUCUUAGGUUCAGGAUCAGGUUUAAAUAGAGGUUCUUUAUCUCUGUUCCUGGUCAUAAACAAGAAAAAGAAGACAAGAAAGAGGAAAAAUGGGAGAUCUAUGUUCAAGAACAGAGAACUCCUUGUGAGAUGUGAAGAACAAAGAAAAGAAGAAUGAAGAUAGAAGAACGAGAACAAGAAUUCAUCUAUGAGGAUUAGAGAAUUUGAUAAUUCAGAAACAAAAUUAGAAACUAGAAUUAAAAUAUUUUUGUUUUUAUUUUAUUUAUUUAUCAAAUUCGAAAAUAAAAUUUAAUUAACUAAAAAUAUUUGAAAAUUUAAUUGUUGAAUUUUGAAAAAGAAGAGAGAGAAAUAGAAGAGGGAUUUUCGAAAAUUAGGAGAGAGAAGAAUUAGUUAGAAAGUUUUGAAAAAGAAGAUAGAGAAAACAAGUAACUAAUUAAGAAAGAUUUGAAAACAAGAUAAGAUAGAAGAUUAGAAAAUAUUUGAAUUUAAAAUUUGAAUUUAGAAAAGAUAAGAUAGAAAUUAAAAAUAUUUGAAAAAGAUUUGAUUUAAAAUUUGAAAUUAGGAAAGAUAAGAUAAGAAUUUGAAAAAGAUUUGAAAAAGAUAAGAUUUUGAAAUUGAAUUUUUGAAAUUUUAAAUUUUAAAUUUUGAAAUUGAAUUUUAAAUUUUGAAUUUGAAAUAAGAUUAAAUAAGAUUUUUGAAUUUUAAAGAAAGAUAGAAAGAUAAGAUAGUAAUUUGAAAAAGAUAUGAUUUUUGAAAAGAUUUGAUUUUGAAAAGAUUUGAAUUUGAAAUUUGAAACUAAGAUAAGAUAAGAUAAUGAUUUUGAAAUUAAAAUUUGAAAAUUUUGUUGGAAUUUUCGAAAAUUCAAGUAAAAGAUAGAAAAGAUAUUUUAUUUUUUGAUUUUUUAAUUAAUGACGAAAGAGAAAAAAAACAAAAAGAAAAUUACCUAAUCUAAGCAACAAGAUAAUCCGUCAGUUGUCCAAACUCAAACAAUCCUCGGCAACGGCGCCAAAAACUUGGUAGCACGGAAUUACACUUCAUGUUACUGAAUCAGCAAGUGCACUGGGUCGUCCAAGUAAAACCUGAGUGAGUCAGGGUGGAUCCCACGAGGAUUGUGAUUUGAAGCAAGCUAUGGUUAUCUUCUAGAUCUUAGUCAGGCGGAUAGAAGAGUUGUUUGUUUGUUUAAUUCGCAUAAAUGAAAAAUAAAUAAAAUGUUACUCAGUUGAUGGUGAAUGCAAUAAUAUGAAGAUGGUUAAGGCUUGGAGAUGCUUUGUUCUUCUAGAUCAAUCCGGUUUUAUUGUCUUCUUCAACUGUGAAUGAUUUCUUCUACGAAAGGCUGUAUGUGAUUAACGCCUUUUUUAGAGAUCACUAAUACUCCUCCAGAUCUAAACCCCAGGGUUAGUGCGGAUGCAGUUUGAUUGAGGGUGAAGCUCCUGCAGUUCAUUCUCCUUGGUGAUCCUACUCAAAACCCCACAGACAAGGUCAAAUAUUCUGGAUCAGGGAAUGCUGCGCCUUUGGUUCUAGCCUCUACCAGAAAGACUCUAAUAUCCCCAUACUUCGGCUGAACUGGUGUCUCGAGAAGUCCCCAUCGAAGUUAUGAAUUAGCCAUCUAGGAGAUGUAUAAUCAAACUAUGGGUUAGUCACUGUCCAAUGAAAGACUCACGCUGAACCCAUGUAGAAUGAGAUAACCUUGUGCCGGUUCAACGCAUUCAUGAUGAUGAAAAACGGAUAUACAUCUUAGAAUAGAGAAUUAAACACGUAUAGAAAUAGAACAGUAGUACUUUAUUAAUCAAUAAAACUCAGCAUAGCUCCUCCCCUCAACCUAGGAGGUUUUAAAACUCAUACUGAUAGAAGAUACAAUGAUAAACGAAAUAUGACAGGUCCUCCCCUUAAAACUGUAAAAGUUCUCAAAUAAAUACUAAGCUAAUGACUUAGGAUUACAUAGGAAGGGUAAAACAGUCUUUUUAUGCAAAAAUCCACUUUUGGGGCCCACUUGGUGAGUGUUUGGGCUGAGCUUGAUUGAGAUCCACGUGCUAGGAGGCCUCAAGGGCGUUGAACGCUGGCUAGGGUUUCCUUCUUGGGCGUUGGAAUUCUGGCUACUCCCUAGUGGGCAUUGGACGCCAGAACAAGGCAGGAGGCUGGCGUUGAACGCCAGUUUUGGGCCUUCAAUUCUAAAGCAAACUAUGGACUAGUAUAUAUUUCUGAAAGCUCUGGAUGUUAGCUUUCUAUAGCCAUUGAGAAUACUCCAUUUGGACUUCUGUAGCUCUAGAAAAGCUCUUUCGAGUGCAAGGAGGUCAGAUCCUGACAGCAUCUCCAGCACUUUCUCUGUCUCUGAAUCAAACUUUUGCUCCAGCUCCUCAAUUUCAGCCAGAAAAUACCUAAAACUGUAUAAAAACACACAAACUCAAAGUAGAAUCCAAAAAUGUGAAUUUUGCACUAAAACCUAUGAAAACUUAAUAAACUUAAACAAAACAUACUAAAAACUAUAUAAAAAUGAUGCCAAAAAGCGUAUAAAAUAUCCACUCAUCAUUAGCAUAAUUUGUCUUUUUGAAGUUACUUGCAUUGCAUGAUAGCUUUAGAGCUUGUACAUAUUCCACUUAUCUUUGUGUUAGAACUACUUGGUUAUGGUGAUGAUUUCUUUUCCAAAAACUGUUUUUAGGGCACCUUACCAAUUUGACAAAAAAAAAAUUGUGUUGAACUUGCUUUAAGGAAUUAAUUUUGGAAAAGAUUUUUGAGCUAAGAACACACAAACAUGUGAGUUUUGAGCUUAAUUGCGUGGUUACAUCAUAUAACCACUUAUUUCCAUUCUUGUGUGCAUUGUUCUCUUUAUAUGAUUGCAAUCUUUGAUUUGUUUGAUUCUUUAUGUCCAUUAUUUUGUGUAUCAAUGCAUUUAUAUGAUUGAGGCUGUUAUUUUAAUAGUUCACUGGCCCAAAUGGCCUUACCUUUUAUCUACCAUUGUUAGCCAAUUUUGAGCCUAUGUUAAACCCCCUUUUGUUCUUUACUUUAGCACAUCACUACCCCUAAGUGAAAAACAAUAAAUGUCCUCUAAUUUGGAUCUUUGAUUAGCUUAGGCUAGUGAGAGUGUGUGUCAUUUAAGUGGGGGGGAAGUUUGGGAACAUUCGUAGAGGUAAAAGUGUGAUUUUAUAUUUUUAAUUGAAAAUAUUAGAAAUUGGGAACAGACUCAUGUAUUGAAUGUUUAGACCACAUGCAUUGGUAUCAUUGCAUAUAAUUCAUCAAAAGAGAAAAAAAAAGAGAAGAAAAAUAAAAGAAAAAAUGUAGAAAAAGAAAUAGAAAAAUAAAAGAAAGAAAAAUAUAUAGAAAAAGAAAGCAAUAAAAAGGGGACAAAAUGCCCCAAGGUGAAGCCAAUAAUAACCAAUGCAUAUGGGUUGUGAAUUGAAAGAGAAUGCAUGAGUGUGUGAAAAAGUGAAUAAAUGGGUAGUUAGGUUUAUAUUUGAAUUGUAUAGGAUGUUAUUUGUGUUGGAUGAAAGCUCAGGUUAAUCAAGGAUUUAAAUUUCGAGCUCACUUGGCCAUAUAUGCAUCCUUACCUUUACCCUAACCCCAUUACAACCUAAAGAUAAGCCCUCAUGAUAAAUGUAUGCAUACACUGAAUAACUGUUGAUUGUUAGAUGAAAACAAAUCUUUGAAAGCAUGAUUAGAAGAGAAUUGAGAGAAUCAACCCUAUACACUUGAGCGACUAGAGAGGAUACACUUCUGGUGAGGGUUCGAUGCUCAACGCCUUGUUCCCUGCUUUCACAAGCGUUCUUCUUACAAGUUGUCUACACUCCGUUUUGAUACUUGAAUUGGUAGAGUUCAUGAAUCAUCUUAUCACCUUGGCCCUAUGUGUUCAUAUAUGUUCUUGGAAGUUGAUUCACUUUUGACCAAAUAAAUAGAAGCACUUGCAUUAGUUGCAUCCAUGUAGGUAAAUUGCAUUCCAUAAAUCUUAUUCUCCUAUGUUCUUUGGUCUUUUAAUUUUUAGCAUGAGGACAUGCUAGGUUUAAGUGUGGGAGGUUUGAUAAACCCCAAUUUUAGGUUUAUCUUGUGUAUAAUUUGGUGGGUUUUAUCAAUAUUUUUCACACUUAUUCAUAUAAAUUGCAUGCUUUUUUGUUUCCUUCCUAAUUAUGUUUCAUGGUUCAAAACAUACUUCUUUAACCCUAAAAAUGCUGAAUUUUAAUCCUUUUCCAUUACCAUUCGAUGCCGAGACGUGUUUGUUAAGUGGAUUCAGGAUCUAUAGGGCAAGAAUGGCCUAGAAGAUGGAAAGGAAGCAUGCACAAGUGGAAGGAACAUGAAGAAUAAAGCUUUGGAAAAGUGGGGGCGAUGCGAACGCGUGACUGACGCACACGCAUGGCCGUGUGUAGCUGAGAUUGGCGCGCAUAAGCUAAUGCACUCGCGUGGUGAUCGCGAAAUCCCACUGACACGUUUUACCUGACUUACGCGUACGCAUGGCUCGAGGAGUUCAUAUGACGCGCACGCGUGACCGACGCGCACGCGUGGCGCCCAGCACGUGACUCAUUAAUGAAAUCAUGACUGGCAAUUUCUGCAAGGCUCCAGGCCCAAUCUGAGCUCAAUUCUUCAUGGAAAAGAGCCAAGGAACCAAAGGGAAAAGGAGGACUCACUCAUACACACCACAUACAUAAUUUUAGCGAGUUUUUUGUUUUUUUUCUAGAGAGAGAAACUCCUACUUCUCUCUAGAUUUAGUUUAUUUUUAUUUUCCUUUGUUGAAUUUUCUUAAAUGGGUCUUGUUGAAUUGAAUUUUAAUUGUUCAAUCUUAAUUCCUUUAGUUGUAAUUUGUUUAGAUCUUAUGCUAGAAUUUGAUUUUCUCUGUGUUUUCUCUUUUCUUCUCAUUUUAUGAAUUUGUUGAUUUUGAAUUUCUCUUAGUGCAUUGAUAUUUUCUACGAUUGAUAGUGUUAAUUAAGUUGUUUUCUAUUGAUAAUUGUUAGUGGGUACUUGUAAUUUCCAAUUAAUUUUGCAAUUUAAAUAUGUCUUUAGUUAAUGCCUACCAUGUGUUUGAUGAAAUGUUUCCUUUGAUUAUGGAGUAUUUUUCCAUAUUCUUGGUCUAGGCUAAGGAAAUUGGGUGACCUUGAGUCAUUGGGUCUAAUUGAAUUAGUGCUUUGAGAACCCUUGUCGGUCAAAUUGAUACCCAUUGACACUAGUCUACUAUUAAGCCAAUUAGUAGUUCGAUUAGGACUUAUGAGUUGAAGUUGAUCAAGCCUAUUUGACAUACUUUACUUGUAGAAGUAGACUUAAUGGGUUUGGUUCCUCAUAAGUGUCAAUAUGUGGUUAUUAGACAAGGAUGGUUAUCCCAAUUCCUAUGCCUUAGCCAAGAGGCCUUUUUAUAAUUCAUACUUGAAACCCAAAAAUCCCAAUUACUUGAUUCUUGUUAUAGUUAGUUUAGUUGCUUACAUAGUUCUAGAGUAGAAGUAGAUUUAUAUGUUACCUUGUUAGAUCACAUUUACUUAUACUUUGCUUUAAUUGCUUUGAUAUAGUUUCUUACACUUUAAAUUUAUUGCAUGUUAAGCUUUAGUAGUUUAAAUUCUUAUUCAUGACUCCCAAUCUUGGAAUUCUAACCAAUAUUAAUGCACAUGUUUGCCCAUUCUCUUGAGGACGACCCGAGACUAAUACUCUCGGUUACUUUUUAUUGGUGUUGAACUAGUGACAACCAUAUCAAAAUUUGAUCAAAGGGUAAUAUGUUGGUCUAGGACUAUACCAUGACAUGAAUCUCUAUUGAGAAAUUCUAGACUAACGAUAAUCUUUACAUCAGUUAGCUGCCACGAUCGAUCGUAGACUUCCAGGGGUAACCUGAAACAGAUAGAUUUGGGCAUGAACGUGAGUUCCUGGUGUAACAACCCUAGAUUUUGAAAAUUAAAUAAUUAGUUAUUUGUGAUUUAUUUUAUUUGAUGAUAAUUUUAUUUUAAGAAAAUUAUUUUACUAAAGGUAAUUAAAUAGAGUUUCAUGAUAAUUGAAGUUUAAAUUAAUUAGAAUUUUUAUAUAAUCUUUAUUAGAUAUUUGGUAUAAUUGAAAUUAUAAUUUUGAUAAUUGAAAAAAAUAGAAGAAUUGUAUAAUUUAAUUUAAAUAAAUUCUAUUUUGAAUGAAUUAUGUUAUUAAUUUGAACUCCUAGAAAUUAUUUUAUUAGAAAUGAUUAGAUUGAUAUUUAUAAAUACUUUAAGUUUAAGUCAAUUAAUAUUUAUGUACAAUUUUUAUUAUAAUUAAUUAUUUUAUAAAUUGAAAUUAAAGUUUCAGAGAUAGAAAAAUAAUAGAGAUUUGUAUGAUUUAAUCUAGAAAAUUGAUAUUUGAAUUUAAAUUUUACUUUACAAAAUAUUAUUAACUUGUUCAUUUUAUAAUGUAAAUUAGAAAUAAUUGAUUGAACAUAGCAAUAUGUUGAUAAAUAAUGUUCCUAAAUAUUUUUAAGAGAGUAUAUUUGAUUUUAAAAUUAUCCUACCCUCCAAUUUUAUCAAAAUAUCUAUUCAUAUCUAUCCAUAUUCUUUUAUAAAAUCCUUAAUUUCUAACCCUAAUUUCCAAAUUGGAAAUCAGAAACCCUAAUUCCCAAAUUCACAAAAAACCCUAAUCCUUAGCACCCUACACCAUAGCCGCACCCCACCCCCUUUCACCCCCUUCAGUGCAACUUCCAAAAAUGGGAAAUCAAAGAGGGAGAGUGAGAAAACGGAGAAGAGAAUAGAGGAAGCAGCAGCUGUUCGCCGUCAGUGCCGCCUCCCUGGAGCUCGCCGCUGAGCUGCUUCACGGCGUCGUCCCAUCCAUGGAGCCAUAAGCUCGCGUCGCCGCCGAUCCAUCCACAAGUCGUCGUUGAGGGGACAGAAUCACGAAGAGAGAGAGACGCACGAACAAGAGAGGCCCACAACCAGCCUUGUCGCUGCCAUCCUUGCGCCGCCACCGUCGCCCUCAUCGCCACUACCGACGAGCACGAAGAGAGGGAGACAUAGGAGUUCGCAAAGCAAAGAGAACGCAGCAGAGGAGCUCCGUUAAAGUUGGUCAUUGUCGCUAAAGCCUCCCUUGUCGCCACUACCGUCCGAGCCGCCGCUAGUGGAAGUCGCUACUGCCACUGUUGUGUCUGCCGUGGGGAGAAACACGAUGGUGGGGAAAGAACCUAUAACUGUCACUGAGCUCUGCCCCUGUUUUUGCAAUCUGAGAAGAGCGCCACUAUCGCUGCUAGAGUUGAUGUUGCUCCAGCUUUACCUUGAAUUGUUACUGCUGCUGCUUGGCUGAAGCUGAGACCUUUCACCAUCAAUGGAGCUGCUGGGUUUAAUGAUUUCCGCGAGUUUCGACUUUGAGGUAGGGGAUUUAACGUUUUUAAUUUAGAAUGCCCACCAAGUUAUUUGAAUAAGUGCAAAUGGUUAACAAUGGUUAAGAAUUUCUUAAUUGGCAUGAAUGACCUGAAAUGCAUUUGAAAUUUGUUAGUUGUUGUGAAUAUUUUGAGCUGUGACUGGAAUUAAAUGUGGUUGUGAAUAAUGAUUAGUUUAGUGUAAUUUAUUAAAUUGAUAUAUGCUGGGUUAAUUAUUGAAAAGAUGUCGUAUGGAUAAUUGAUGAAUUGAGUGUGGACUGUUGCUGUGAACGUUACUGGGUUUUAUUAUUGUAAGUGAUUAAUUGAUAAGAUUAAUUUUGGUUGCUGUUGUGAUUGAUAUUGGUUUUCUGAUUUUGAUGUAAUUAUGCUAAAUUGGUUGAGUUGUGGUUAUAUUCUAAUUAUUGAAAACAAGUGCUUGCUGUUGAUUUUAGUUAUCCGAUGUACCGGAAUGGCUGUGAAAUUGACUCGUGACUGGCUGAAAUUUGAUCCGGUGGUUAUUGAAGGAUUAGAACUUAAAGGAUUAAACUGUCUUGAGAACCUGCUUUUCUAAAAUAAUAUAGUAACUUUAAGAGUAUAUAAAUAAUUCUGUGAUGGCUGGACUAAUUUUCUAUGUCAUGAUUUAUUGAUCCUGGCUAUGGCUGUGAAUUGUGACUGCUUUUGAGGUUGUUAUGACAAUGAUCAGUGGUUUGCUUAUUUUACUUAAUCCUGAUUAGUUAGGCUAGCUAUGAGUACAUUAUGUUUGUGCUUUGAUUAUAGUAAUAUGUGAAUUGAGGAUUGCUUGGUGAAUGUUUGCUGGAGAUUCUGAUUUUGCUUGUAGGCAAGACAUUGGAUGUUGAAUUGAUUGUUGAUAAGCUAGGUUUGUACUUGUGAAUUGUAAAGAGAUCAUAAAUCGAUUGUUAAUUUAAUUCCUUUAAAUCUAAAUUGUAAACUAAUGCAGUUAUUUUAAAAGUAUAAAGAUAAUUUAUAAUAAUUGGAAACUAUAAGAAGCUAAAUUCUUGGGUGAUAAUGUGUUUGGAUAUUUGGGAAUGAGGAACUGUUAGUCUUUUGGUUAACAUAAUUUAUGAAUUGAUGAGUUUGAAGUUGGAUUGAUGAUGGAUUAUGUGCGAAUUGCGAAUUGUGGAUUUUCUGAUUGGUUGAGAACCUUUUAUUUGAUACUUGUUGAGAAAAGGCAGAUGAAUAGUUGAGAAAGAGGGAACCCGUAAGGGUGGCUAAGUCCGAGUUUUAGAGGAGGUGCUGCCCAAAUUUUAUAAAAUCUGUUUUAAUUGAAAAGUUAUUUUAGAAGACUUGGAUUUGGAAAAAUGAUAUUAUUUAAGUUUUAUUUAGUUAAGAAAAGAAUUACUCUAUUUUAAAUUUGAUUUACCAAAGAAAGGUCUAUGUUUCAAAAUUAAAUUAUUUAAGAAAGAAGCUAUAUCUUGAGAUUGAUUCAAUAUGAAAAGAAUGAUGUUUUAAGCUUGAAAUAAAGGAUUACUUUUCAAAAGUUUGGUGAAUUUAUAAGGUUUGAAUCCGAAUGAUAAAGAGAAAUGGUUUGAGCCAAGAUGUUGUAAAAGUGAGAGAUGUAAAGUUUGUAUAGUAUGAUUGAAUAGAGAAAGAAAGUGGUAUUGCAUAAGAAUGUGAAAGUAAUGAUGAAUAAUGAGAAUGAUAAUGAAUGAUGAUAAUGAGAAUGAUUAUGUAAUGAUCUGCUGUGUGAAGGCAGCCAGAUAGAUGGUGGUACGACCACUAAGAGCGCUUCCCUGGGAUAUUUAGCUAUAAUGCUAUUCUGUAAGUCAGAGGACUCUUACAGAGGUAUCGAGAAAAUACAUAACUAGCAUAUGCUCCUGUAAGUCAAAGGACUCUUACAGCGAGUGUAUGUGAGUGUGCUCCUGUAAGUCAAAGGACUCUUACAGUGAGUGUGUUGGGCAGACUAGCUCCGCCCUGCAAGUCAAAGGACUCUUGCAGUGGGUUGUUAGUGCCGCCAUGCAAGUCAAAGGACUCUUGCAGUGGUUUGCCCCGCAAGUCAAAGGACUCUUGCGAUGGGUGUUGCCAACAGGGAAGCCUUACCUGGUCAAAGGACUCCGAGUAACGUCGGGAGCGGGUAUGUAACCGACAAAUGAGCUCAUUACCUGCACUAAGGCUAGACAUGCAUCAUCAUUGUGUGUGCAUUUGCAUUUGAUUGGGUUUGCUCAUUGUACUUCCCUGUGAUUGUGCUGUUUGCCUUACUGUGACUUGUUUGUGUGCUGAAUUGAAUCUCUUGUUAGUGCUAUUAGUUGGUGAAUGUAUGAUGAUGAUUAAGAAUUGACGUUGUGAUUGAAAAUUAACUAUGUGGUUGAGAAAUACUUAAAGUGACCAGUUUUAUAUUUUGGAAUUUGUUUUGAGCUUAGAUUUUUGAAAGAGGUAAAUAAUUAGUUAAAGUAAAACCAAGAAUAGUAUUUUCAAAAAGGUUUGAUAAAAAUAUAGUUUCCUUGAGUAUGUUAAUUAUUUGCAUGUUAAUCAUUACUUUUACGGCAUUCCCAUUCCCUACUGAGAACGUGUGGUUUGAUCUCACCCCAAAAUCUUCCACCCUUUCAAUGAUACAGGUUCGAAGACUCAGUUUGAAGCUGCGGGCGAUUGUUAGACCCUAUUUAUGAGUUAAGUUUUUGAAUUGAGUUGCUUUCAUAGAAUUCCCUCGCCUUUGUUACUUAAGAUUUUAUUUUAUAAAGAGGGAUAGGAGUUGUAUCUAAGUUACACUUGAAUUUGUUUGUAUAAUAUUUACUAAUAAUUAUAUGAUUAUUAUUAUUUGGUGAUGCUUGAUAUAUGAUUUGAUAAAUAAAAAUAAAAUUUUCUGGCAUUUUUUACUAAAACUGAAACACGAUAUCGAACUAGAGGCUCAAUAGUAAAUAGUUAAUAAAGGAAAGCAGGUUGGUAACGCCUUACUUUCGGUACGAUCAUGACGUUCUGGAAGUUGGGUCGUUACACCUGGCUUCUUUUUUAGUGAGAUGUUCCUUUGUCUCCUCAGCAAAAGGUUGUUGUCUAAAAUCUUUGGAGAGCUUGGUGGGGGGUGCAUGCAAGGGACUUCGAUGCUUAAGUUAGCAAAUGUUUUAGGCAGGUUUUUUAGUUGAUUGGAGUUUGAAGAAUACCUGAGACUCAUAGGGUAUUUAUAAUUGUAGAUGGUAGGCUAAUAACUAUUUUACAAAGUAGCUCCUCCUUUGAUGGUAGAUAAUUGUUCUCUUUUAUUAAGGAUGUUGUUGAGAUCUCCCUUCUGGAUCAAUAGGAGAUAUUAUAGGAGAUAGUUACUUAUUAAAAUAAAUAGGGCUAGGCCCCUGUUGCCGUGUCCAACCUUUUUAGGGUCGGGUAAGUCGUAUCGUGGGUCCAAAUGUUAGUAUUAUAAUGUAGAUCGGACUUUAGUAAUUUUGGGUCUAGCUCUUGUAGUGGGCCAAAGUAUGAAAUAUAUUCAUCCUUGGAGUUUGCAAAAAAUUUUAAAAAUACUCCUAAAUUUUAUUUUGCUUUAAAUUAAUUCCAAAAAAUUUUUAUUUGCAUCAAAUAUAUCCUAACAUCUAAAUUUUUGAAAUGUCUAGGACCAAUCUAAUAAUAAUGCAUGAUAACUAUGUUUAUUUUACUUGUAUUGAAAGUUGUGAAAUUAUUGUUGAAUUUGGUCAUAAAUUUUUUUAAAAAUUAAUCAUGAGGGAUAAAUUUGAUGCAAAUUGAAAACUUCUAGAACAAAAUAAAAUUAAAAGAUUGAUAAACCACUAUUUUAUAGUUUAUCUUGUGCUAAUUUGAGUGGUUUUUAUCAAUUCUUCACUCACCUAUUCAUAUAAUUUGCAUGGUUUUACAAUUCCUUCCGUAUUCUGUGAUGUGUGAAAACAUGUUUCUUAGGCCUUAAAACAAACAUGCAAAACUGGAAGGAACGCACGAAAAUGAAGUUUUGAAGAAAAUGGCAGAGACGCGCGCGCAUAAACGACGCGAACGCGUGCCUAUCGCAGAACACGAGUGACACGUAUGUGUGACAUGGAAAAUCGCCAAAUGACACGCACGCGUCACCUACGCAUACGCGUGAUAGACGCCACGUGCAGAAAGAUGCAGAAUUCGCCCCCAGCGAUUUCUGGGCUGUUUCUGACCAAGUUUUCGACCCAGAAAACACAGAUUAUAGGCUAUAAAGUGGGGGAAUCCAUUCAUUCAAAAAGGAAAACUUCUCAUUAUUCACAAUUUUAGGUUUUAGAUGUAGUUUUAGAGAGAGAGAGGCUCUCUCCUCUCUCUUAGGUUUUAGGAUUAGGAUUUCUUCUUCUUCUCAAUUCCAGGUUCGAUGUUCAUUUAAAUUAUUAAUGCAAAGAGUACUUUUUCAUUUAAUUUUAUUAUUUAUUUAAUUGCUUUCAAUUUUAUUUCCAUUAUCAUGUCUCUUUUCUACUCCCUUCUCCCAAUAACGAAGAUGGUAUGCAUGUUGAUAGAGUAGACUCCCAACUUGACAUGGGGGUUGAUUAAAAGGAGACACUUGACUUUCCCAAGGGAGAGGAUUAGGAUUUGCGGAUAAGAGUUAGCUCAAUCACUUGACUUUCCUUUAUUUAGUAAGGGUUAACUAAGUGAAAAUAACAACCUUUUGAUGCUACACUUGAGAAAAUCCAACAAGGAUAGAACUUCCAAUUAAUCAUUCUUCCAGUCAAGGCUUUUUAUUUUAAUUACAUAAAACCUCUUGUUAAUUUUCAUUGCUUUAAUUUAUAAUUAUUUAUUUUCCCAUUCCUCAUUCCAAAAUUUCUCAGAAAAUUCAUAAACAAUAAUAACUACACCUCCCUACAAUUUCUUGAGAGACGACCCGAGGUUUAAAUUCUUUAUUUAUCAAUUUUAUUGGGUUUGCUUUUGUGACAACCAAAAAUUUUGUACGAAAGAAUUCUCUGUUGGUUCAGAAACUAUACUAGCAACGAGAACUUAUUUGUAAAAUUCUUUUCUAACAGAAAAUCCAUUCGUCAAAAUGGCGUCGUUGCCGAGAAAUUGCAAACAUCUGCCUUAUUAUUUGUUAUUGUAAAUAUUUGCUUUUUCGUUUCUUUGUUAGUGUUUCUAGUUUUACGAGUUUAUUUUCAUUAAUUUUUAUUAGUUUUUGUUUUUAUUUUCUUUAGCUACUAUGAAUUCUCACCCCUCUGACUUUAAGUUUGAUUCCAAUGUUGUUGUAAGGAAUGGAAGCUAUAAUGAGAACAGGCAUCAACGUUGGAAGACUCAAAGAUAGGAGGAGCCACAAGAAUUUGAUCAACCCUCUUGGCAACAACCCCCUCCAAUGCGCUAUAACCAACAACCAAUCUGUAAUGCAUAUCAAGACAAUAGUUAUGGUGGACCCUUUCGUGACAAACCACCUUUACCAAAUUACUAUGGUCAAGAGCCAUUCCAGGGAGCGUACCAAGAUGAUGAAUACGGUGGACCCCCUUGUAGUUACCAACAACCCCACCAUAUGCUUAUGAACCACCUCCCCAACAUACCUUUGAACCACCAUACUCACAAGCCCCUUUACACCAUUCACCUCCAUAUGACCGCAACCCUUAUCCACCAUACCAACCACUAGGGGUGUGCAAAAAAACUGGUUUCACUGAACUGAAUUGAAACUGAGCUGAAACUGUUUUAAAUAAACCAGUUUUUUUAAAUAAAAAACUAAACUGAAACCAUAGUUUUUAUGAAAAACCAGUUUAUUGAAAACCAGCUUUUAUGGUUCAGUUUAGUUUUAAACCAAAUUAAAACUGGUUUUAUUUAAACUCUAAAAUUAGUUUUUACAUACUCUUUAUCUCUCUCUCCCUUCUCUCUCUCUCUCUCUCUCUCUCUCUCUCUCUCUCUCUCUCUCUCUCUCUCUCUCUCUCUCUCUCUCUCUCUCUCUCUCUCUCUCUCUCUCUCUCUCUCUCUCUCUCUCUCUCUCUCUCUCUCUCUCUCUCUCUCUCUCUCUCUCUCUCUCUCUCUCUCUCUCUCUCUCUCUCUCUCUCUCUCUCUCUCUCUCUCUCUCUCUCUCUCUCUCUCUCUCUCUCUCUCUCUCUCUCUCUCUCUCUCUCUCUCUCUCUCUCUCUCUCUCUCUCUCUCUCUCUCUCUCUCUCUCUCUCUCUCUCUCUCUCUCUCUCUCUCUCUCUCUCUCUCUCUCUCUCUCUCUCUCUCUCUCUCUCUCUCUCUCUCUCUCUCUCUCUCUCUCUCUCUCUCUCUCUCUCUCUCUCUCUCUCUCUCUCUCUCUCUCUCUCUCUCUCUCUCUCUCUCUCUCUCUCUCUCUCUCUCUCUCUCUCUCUCUCUCUCUCUCUCUCUCUCUCUCUCUCUCUCUCUCUCUCUCUCUCUCUCUCUCUCUCUCUCUCUCUCUCUCUCUCUCUCUCUCUCUCUCUCUCUCUCUCUCUCUCUCUCUCUCUCUCUCUCUCUCUCUCUCUCUCUCUCUCUCUCUCUCUCUCUCUCUCUCUCUCUCUCUCUCUCUCUCUCUCUCUCUCUCUCUCUCUCUCUCUCUCUCUCUCUCUCUCUCUCUCUCUCUCUCUCUCUCUCUCUCUCUCUCUCUCUCUCUCUCUCUCUCUCUCUCUCUCUCUCUCUCUCUCUCUCUCUCUCUCUCUCUCUCUCUCUCUCUCUCUCUCUCUCUCUCUCUCUCUCUCUCUCUCUCUCUCUCUCUCUCUCUCUCUCUCUCUCUCUCUCUCUCUCUCUCUCUCUCUUUUUUCUCUCUCUUUCCUUUUGUUUCUCUUUCUCCUCUCCCUCCUCUCUCUCUCUCCCCCUCCCUUCUCUCUUCCUCUUUCUCUCUCUCUUUUUUCCCUUUUCUCUCUUACUCUCUCUCCCUUCUCUUCUUUCUCUGUCCUCUUCUCUCUCUUUCUUCUCCCUCCUUUCUCUCUCUUUCUCUUCUUUCUUCCCUUUCUUUCUCUCUUUUCUCUUUCUCUCUCAACCUUCUCUCACUAUAUAUCCCUCUUCUCUCUCUCCCCCCUCUUUUCUCCAAAAUAAGAGAGAAAAGGAGGGAGAGAGAAAAGAAGAAAAAAGAGGGGAAAAAGAGAGAGAGAGGAGGAGGAGGAGAGAGAGAAUGAGAGAGAAGGGAGGGGAGAAAGAGCGUAAGAGAGAGGAAGAGAGAGCGAGAGAGAAAGUAAGAGAGACAGAGAGAAAGAGAGAGGGAGAGAGAGGAGGGGAAGAGGGAAGGAGAGAGAGGGAGAGAGAGAUAGAGAGAAAGAGGGAUAGGGGAGAGAGAAUGAGAGAAAGGGAUAGAGGGAGAAAAGGGAGAGAAAAAAAGGGAAGGAGGAGAAAGAGGGGCAGGGGAGAGAGAGAGAGGAGGGGAAGAGAGAGGGAAGAGAGAGAAAAGAAAAGGGGGGGAGAGAGGAAGACAAAGAGAGGAAAAGAAGAGAGAGAGAGAGAGAGAGAGAGAGAGAGAGAGAGAGAGAGAGAGAGAGAGAGAGAGAGAGAGAGGGGAGAAAGAGGAGGAAGAGAGGGGAAAGGGAGAGAGAGAGGAGAGAGAGAGUGGGAAAGGGAGAGAAAAGGGGAGAGAGAGAGAGUGGAAGGAGAGAGAGAGAGAGAGAGAGAGAGAAACAGAGAGAGGAAAGGGAGAGAGGGAGAGAGAGAGGGUGUGAAAACUAGUUUUAGCCUAUAAACCAGUUUAAACUGGUUUUUUUUAAUUAAAACCAGUUUUUUUUUAUGAACUGGUUUAAACUGGUGCACUGUAUUAUAAACUGGUUUAAAACCAGUUUCUUAUGUGACAAAGCAGUUUGGUUCAGUUUCUAAACCAUUUAAAAUGGUUUAGUGCAGUUUCAGUUCAGUUUAGGGAAAAACUGAACCAUGCACACCCCUACCAACCACCCUAUGAACUGUAUGAACCAUACAUAGAGCCACCCUAAUUCCAACCCAAUUACUCCCAAGAACCACCACCUCCAUAUAGACCAUGUCCAUAUCCAUCAAUCCAGGAGCACUAUGAUCCUACGUAUGAUAGCCGAGCGCAACAAGAAUGAAAGGAUCGUCUCGAGAAAACAGUGGAUCGAUUUCAUGCAACCCUUCAUCAACUGGAGCAAGCAAUAAAUCAAUUAGCUUUCCGACGUUCGGACACUCAAGGAACCCCAUGGCUUUAUGUGGAGAAUAUAAUGAAGAACGUAGCAUGAAGGAGACACUAGAAACUCCGGUGGACAGUAAGAAGCAUGACUUUGUAUUGGAACAAGUGCAGGAAGCCAGAAUUAUCGAAGAAGAAGAAUUGGUUGAAGACUUAGGAGAUGCGGAACGUCCAUGGGAAAGCCCAGUCAUAGAGCCCCCUUCUAAGGAGUUUGAAUUUGAUGUUGAGGAGGGUGUACAACCUCUAAGGCAUAUCAUGGUUGAAGACUUUGAAGGGAAUAAUCAAGAGAUAGAUUCAAUCAUUGAUGAAUUCUUAUCUACAUUUAAAUCCUCUCCCAUUGGACUUGACAUGGAGAUUAAAGAAGAAGAAGCACAACCUCCCAUGCCCUUGAUGAACAAUGAAGAAGAGAUCGAAUUGGAAGAAAGCUACCAAGAGAAAGAGGUUGAUAUUGAAGAAGCUUGCAAAGAGGUAGAAGUUGUCAAAGAAGAGCCCAAGGGAAUGGAGCUGGAGAUCACCUUGCCAAGGUUGUUGGAGACCUCUCCCCCAAAGCCAUCACCAUCCAUCCCUUCAUUCAAGUGGGUAAAUUUCUCAUCUCUAAGCUUAAUUAUCCCACUUGAAUAUGCUUUGCUUGAGACGGAUGGGCAACUUAGAGCUCUUUGUGGCUAUAAGAGUAAGAGGGAGAUGGUUAGUGGUUGGCAACACAAUCUAGGUUCAUUGUGGUAGGAAGCUCACGGCUGAAUUAUCAUGGUUGGAAGAAUUCUAAAUUGUAUGGGUCUAGGAAGCCGUUUGGAUGCCUCCGUGAGAAUUCGGAUUGCUUACCACCUGGUUGGAACAAAGAUGGUCAACAAGAAGACAGAUGCAAAAGCAAUGUUUGGGACCCCGGAAUUCAGUCUAGCAAUCAAUACUCUUGGGGCCUUGUCACUUGCUUCAACUUGCUUGAAGACUUUAUGCGUCUAAUUUGGGACCCUGGAGAUUACUGGAACUACAAACAUUGGUGGAGAUUCCUGGAUGAGUUCAAGCACAAGCCACCAUGACAGGGAGCACAUCCAAUGUCUAACUUAAGGACAAUAACUAAAAGUGCUAGGUGGGAGACAACCCAUCAUGGUAUGAUCGUUCUUUUCUUUCUUCUUAGUUUUAUUCUAGCUUCUUUCUUCUUAUUUUAUUCUAGUAAAUCUUCUCAUUAUUACUGCAUAUAGUCUGCAUUUUCAUUUGCAUACUGCAUAUAUAAAAAAAAAGUGAACAGCAAGUUCUGUGGGAGCGGUGCAGAAAGCGUGUCAAUCGCACAAGCAACAUCACGCGUACGCGUACGAGCCACUUGAUAUUUUGGCAUUUCACAUGUACGCGUCAAUGACGCGCACGUGUGGCCCAGAAAAAUCGACGUAAAAGGUGUAUUGGCCGAAAGUUGUGAUGGCCUGGUGCUGGCACUGUGCUAGAGGCACAAAAUCACCCACGCGUACGCGUCCCUGACGCGUGCGCGUCGUUUUCAGUUUCUGAGCGAUCACGCGUGCGCGUGCCUAACGCGCACGCAUCAUAUGCAAAGUUGGGCCACAACAUUGAGUGAACAGAGAGUUGUGCGUGCCCAAGGCUGGCUUCACGCGAGUAGCACAAACACGGUCACACGUACACGUACGCGACGCUCUCGCGUCGCCUUCUCAAUUGCGCGCCCCACGCGUAUGCGUUAGUCACGCAUACGCAUCGACAGCGCCGCAUCACCAGAACCCUGCAACGCCCACUUUACUUAUCUUUUCUUUCCCAAUCCUAAUUUCUUUUCUUCUAUCUUAUCUCCCUUCUUAUUCUUUCUCCUUCCUUUCUUACUUCCUUCUUCUUCAUUUCUUUGACUUCUCCUCCUUAUUCUCUUUCAUUCUAUUUUACCUAAUUUAUUUGCAUAUUUUUGUUCAUUACAUUUUAACUGUAUGCAUGUUUUUAUUUUCUUUUCUAUAUUUAUUAUUUUUCUAUUGGUGUUGAAUGUUCUUAUUCCACUGUUGCAUUUCUAUUGCUUUCUUUUGGUGCUUCGUGACUUGUUUCCAUUGUUGGGUAAUAUUAUUUAUAAGUCCAUGCUACUCUUUUAUGACACUUGUAUUCCUUUUGCAUUGAUUUGAAUUUAUAUUGUCUUUCAUGACCCACUCUUUCUCCCUCAUUGUUUCAAUUCAUGCACUGUUGAUAUGCCAUGUACUUCUAUUAUUUUCUCACUUAUAUGUUGUAGAUACCAUAUAGUUGAGAAUCUUAUUAUUUGGCAUUAACCCAAGCAUAUUUUAUUUGUUUUAUAUCUUUGUUCUUAGGUCACUUUUCUUCUUUUUCUUCUUCUUUCAGGAUGGCCACCGAAGAAGGAAAACGAAGAACUUCUAUAUGGGGCGACCGACAAGUCAAUCUGCAUAUUCUUUGGAGAAAAGCAUCAGUUGUAGCAGCCCGCCCACUUGCACAUCUCAGCAUGCAGCGAGGACGGUGCCAAGCUCUAAGUGUGGGGAGGUCGGUCAGUACCUGACUUCCGGAGGUAAUUGCUCUUUCUUAACACCAAUAGGUUAUUUUUCUUUUGUUAGGAUAGGAUAAAUUGCAUAGUAAUAGACGUUUGCAUGCAUGUUCUAUUUGGUUGAAAAAUAAUAAGUUUCUUUUCACGACUCUAUUUUGAAAAUUUCACUAAUUUAAAUUAAAACUUUUGUGUUAAACUUGUUUGAAGACUGUAAAUUGGAACAUGAUUUUUGAGUAAAGAACACAACCUAUGAGAUUUGAGCUUAAUUACAUGGUUACAUUAUUUAACCAUAAUAUUUUAUUCUUGUGUAUUUUCUUCUCUAUAACUGUAAUCUUUACUUUGUUCCACUCUAUAUGUCCAAUGUUUAGUGUAUUCACAUGCUUGCAUAUGAUUGAGGCCAUUAUUUUAUUAGCUCACUUAUCCCAAAAAGCCUACCCUUCAAUUACCUUUGUUAGCUACCUUUAGUCUUUUAAUCCUCAUUUAUUCUAUAUUUUACCACAUCACUAGCCUUAAGCGGAAAAAAAUUAAUUACCCCAAUUGAAUCUUUGGUUAGCUUAAGAUAGAGAUUGUGUAUCAACUAAGUGUUGGAAAACUGUGGAAACUUGGGUUGAUGAAGGUGUACAGUAUUUCAUUGACAAAAUAUUGGGAAUUUGAGUGCUUACUCAUGUAAGACCCAAAAAAUUAAAAAUCCAUGUGCAUUGAUAAUGUUAUGUUUACUUUUAUACUUUAAAAAAAUAUUCAAUAAAUAAAUAAAUAAAUAAAUAAGGGGACAAAAUUACCCCAAAUGCUAAGUUUAAUAAAAGAUCAAUACAUAUGUGAUAAAAAAUUAAAAGAAAGGUUGAUGCAUGAGUAUGUGAAAUAUGCAAAAGUGGAAACUUUGGAUAGCUAGGCAUGAUUUUAAAAGUAUAAACAGUGUGUAUGUUAGGUGAUAGCUUAGGUUACUCAAAGAUUCAAUUUAUAGCUUACUUGGCCAUACAUAUAUCCUCUCCCUUAACUUAGCCCCAUUACAACCUUGAAAAGACCUCAUGAUGUUUGCAUUGGUGCAUUAAAUAUUUGUUGAUUGGGUAGAUGAAGAACAAAGUUUUAGAAAGCAUGAAUAGAGAAUACUAGAGUGGACUACCCUAUACACUUGAAUGAUUAGAGCGCAUAUACACUACCAGUGAGGGUUCAAUGCUUGAUUCUAUAUUCCCUGCUUUCAUGAGCUAUCUUCUUACAAAUUUACUUGUCUUUUAUUAUGUGAUUUGAAUGAGUGGAAUCUGAUUUAUAUAUGUCUUGGAGAAUUUGUUUACUUUUAACCAAGUAGGUAAAAGCAUUUUGCAUUUAGUUACAUGCAUAUAGAUAGGUUGCAUUUUAUACUUUCUACCAUUCCUCUUCACUCUUUUAGUUCUCUUGAGCUUAGCAUGAGGACAUGCUAAUGUUUAAGUGUGGGGAGUUUGAUAAACCAUUAUUUUAUGGUUUAUCUUGUGCUAAUUUGAGUGGUUUUUAUCAAUUCUCCACUCACUUAUUCAUAUAAUUUGCAUGGUUUUACAAUUCCUUCCGUAUUCUAUGAUAUGUGUGAAAACAAAUUUCCUAGGCCUUAAAACUGCGAAUUUUAAUUAUCUUUUAUUACCAUUCGAUGCUGUGAUUUGUGUGUUAAGUAUUUUCAGGCUUUUAUAGGGAAGGAAUGGCUUAGAGGACAGAAGCGAAACAUGCAAAAUUGGAAGAAACGCGCGAAAAUGAAGUUUUGAAGAAAUUGGCAGCGACGCGCGCGCAUGGAUGACGCAGACGCGUGCCUAGCGCAGAACACAAGUGACGCGUACGCGUGACAUGGAAAAUCGCCAAAUGACGCGCAUACGUGACCUACGCGUACGUGUGACAGACGCCACGUGCAGAAAGUUGCAGAAUUCGCCGCCAGCGAUUUCUGAGCUGUUUCUGACCCAGUUUUCGACCCAGAAAACACAUAUUAGAGGCUAUAAAGUGGGGGAAUCCAUUCAUUCAAAAAGGACAACUUCUCAUUAUUCACAAUUUUAGAUUUUAGAUAUAGUUUUAGAGAGAGAGAGGCUCUCUCCUCUCUCUUAGGUUUUAGGAUUAGGAUUUCUUCUUCUUCUCAAUUCCAGGUUUAAUGUUCAUUUAAAUUAUUAAUGCAAAGAGUACUUUUUCAUUUAAUUUUAUUAUUUAUUUAAUUACUUUCAAUUUUAUUUCGAUUAUCAUGUCUCGUUUCUACUCCCUUCUCCCAAUAACGAAGAUGGUAUGCAUGUUGAUAGAGUAGACUCCUAACUUGACAUGGGGGUUGAUUAAAAGGAGACCCUUGAGUUGGGAUGCUUAAGUAAUUAGUUAAAUUGGAAGUUGUUGGCUAAUUCUCUAUUUACUAACGCUAAUCAUUCCCAAGGAAGAAGAUUAGGAUUUGUGAAUAAGAGUUAGCUCAAUUACUUGACUUCCCUUUAUUUAGUAAGGGUUAACUAAGUAAAAAUAACAACCUUUUGAUGCUACACUUGAGAAAAUCCAACAAGGAUAGAACUUCCAAUUAAUCAUUCUUCCAGUCAAGGCUUUUUAUUUUAAUUACAUAAAAUCUGUUGUUAAUUUUCAUUGCUUUAAUUUAUAAUUAUUUAUUUUCCCAUUCCUCAUUCGAAAAUUUCUCAGAAAAUUCAUAACCAAUAAUAACUACACCUCCCUGCAAUUCCUUGAGAGACGACCCGAGGUUUAAAUACUUCGGUUAUCAAUUUUAUUGGGUUUGCUUUAGUGACACCCAAAAUUUUUGUACGAAAAGAUUCUCUGUUGGUUCAGAAACUAUACUAGCAACGAGAACUUAUUUGUAAAAUUCGUUACUAACAGAAAAUCCGUUAGUCAAAAUUAUUUUUAAAACUUUCAGCAAACUUCAAGAAUAAAAAAUAUACUAACCUAAUUCAACAUUAUUUGUAGUCUUAAUUUUGAUCUUUUUUACCUUUUUAUAUUUUGGUGUACUGGUAUUUUUCACCUUUUUUUUGGACUUGGGCUAUGCCCAACAACCCAAACCUGACUCCAAGAACCACCCAACAACCCACUCCCUAAACUAAAUGUUGCGGUAGUGUUGUUCCUUGGCCACCAUUACUGUGAAUAAACUCCAUAACCAUUAAUUAAGCUAUCUUGUUGUUGCGGAUGACGUCCUCAACGCGGCUCGGUGAGCUCCUCUAUUCAGCGAACUCCGACAAAGCCAAUGAUGAUGACCAAGAUGAGCUCCGAUGAGCAAUAUGCCCCGACGAGGCCGGUGAAGAAGUCGACGGGCAGCUCCUCUGUGCAGCAAGUUCCGGCAAGGUAAGCGACGAAGACGACGAGCAGCUCCUCAACGCAGCGAUCAUUGACGGGGCCAACAACGGAGACGACAAGGUAGGUUUUUCAAGGUCGCUCCAAGACGUCCGAUUUGGUCUCCUCCAUGAACAGAACUUCGUUGUGCCUCUGUGCAGGAGGGAGGAUAGGAAUUCCUACUGAGAAGGGUUGCAUUGUUAACGCGUCCCUUCUGCUUGAAAUCCAGUUAACUGCGUUUUCUUUUAACAUUGUCUUUUUUCACCUUAAAAUUCGUUGCAUUGAAUAUUAUGUUUUUCCUCAAGAUUGUGUUCUCAAACUUUCUUUUCGUAUUAUAUUACGAAUUUCUGCAGGUGGUUGAUGGCUUCAAUUUGGGUAUAGAGUUUCCACAUCUGCUGCUUUAGCCACUGCGUGUGCUAGGAGGUUGCCAUCCCUGGGAGUCCACGUUAGACCCUUUUUAGGUAAAGCUUCUAAAAGUAUCUGUAUAUCUUGAAUUGUUGUCCAUGCUCUGCGAAUAGAACUUUUGGAUUUGAUAGUUUGCACCAAUUUUUGAUUAUCUCAUUCAAUUAAUGUCCUUUCCAAUUGUAAAUUAUUUACGAUGAUUAGGGCCUAUCUUAUUGACAUGGCUUCAGCUAUAAUUCUUGAGUUAGCUUGAAUUUUACUAGUGAAUCCUAAUAAGACCUUCCCUUCUUUGUCUCUAACUACAACAGAAAUAGUUCCGUUGCCCGAUUCCUUCUUGAAGGUAGCAUCCAUAUUUGCUUUUAGCCAAUCAUUCGGAGGUAGUCUCCAACGAGCCAGGUUUGCAUUUCUUCUUAUUUCUCCAAUCCUAGUCUCUGCUCUUUUUUCGGCAGCAUUCCAAUAAGUGUAUUCCAAUAGUUUAGCUUUUUUAAAGGACUAUCUAGAAUCCUUUUUUAAAGGACUAUCUAGAAUCCUUUUUUUGCAUAUACUAGUAUACACUGGCAAAAUGUUUUGGCUGGCCUUCCAUAAAUGCAUCUUAAUUUUUUGCUAAACCUCCGUUUUCCAAAUUUCUCUCCAUAGAUGCCUCUUAUCUAUACUGGUAGAUGGAUUCCAUUUAUUUCUGGCUAGAUAAUCCUCUUUCACAGUAUAAUAGCCUGUUCUAAUCGAAUAAAUUCUAUCUUCUUUUUGUGGCCAAUAUAGACAGUCUUUCUUAUUCACUACACUGAUUGGAGUUCUGAUGAUCGCUUCUCUUGUUUGUUGUGGAAACAUGUUGAAAAGUUUUCUCUUAUUCCAUCCCAUACCCUCUUCAAUAAGCUCUUUAACUUUGGAUGCACCUUGACUUUCUCCCUCUAAUGGUCGGCUAGCUCCCUCAAUCCAAGUGUCCCUCCAAAUAUUUAUUUGCGAUCCAUCCCCUACACUCCAUUUACCUUUUUUCCUAAGAAGUUCUCGUCCAUGUACUAAACUCUUCCAAACCCAUGAUGACCCCUUCUUGAUUCUAGCCUCCCAACAAUUGCCAUCUAGAAAAUAGAUUGCCUUUAGAAUCUGAACCCAAAUAGAGUUCAAGUUCUUCAAGGCUCUCCAAGCUUGUUUUUGCCAGAUACGCAGUGUUUUGAAAUUCUAAAUCUUAAACCCCAAACCACAAUCUCGUUUACUUAUUGUGACUGAUUCCCAAUUCUUCCAAUGUAUACCUUGUUCCUUUCCUGAUUCCUUUCAAUGUAUACCUCGUUCUUUUCCUACUGAAGCCCACCAAAAUCUAGCUACCUUAGAAUUAAUUUUCCUCCAAAAGACUCUUGGGAACUUGAUGAUAUUCAUAGCAUAAGCAGGCACCGCUUGAACUACUGCUUUAAUGAGUGUUUCCUUGCCUGCCUGGUUAAGGAGUUCCUCUUUCCAACCCUCCAACUUAUUCAUAAUCCUAUCUUCAAUCCAUGCUAGAGCUUUGUAUAGAGAUCUCCCCCAUAUCGCAGGUAGGCCAAGGUAUUUUCCAGGUGAUUCCCAUGCCGGAAUCCCUAGUAUUUCUUCAAUAUUAACCCUCUUUUGAAUUGAUACUUGAUUACCAAAGGUGAUGUCUGAUUUAUUGAGAUUUAUUCGUUGACCCGAAGCCUCUGUGUAUUCAUUAAGAAUUGUGACAAUUUGAAAAACUUCUUCCUCGCUUGCCUCCGAAAAGAUGAUGCAAUCAUCUGCAAACAGUAGGUGAGUGAUAUUUGGGGCUGUAGGGACAAUCCUGAACCCGGAGAUUCUUCCCUCUCUUCUUGCUUCAUCCAUAAGGAUAGUAAACACUUCUGCUACUAAGAUAAAUAGGUAAGGCGAGAGCGGGUCACCCUGCUGAAAACCUCGUUGAGGCUUUAUCUUCCUUGAUAGCUUUCCGUUAAUUUUAAACCUAUAGUUUGCUCCUCUAACACAUUUCAUUACUGACUUUACCCAUCUUGUUUGAAAUCCAAAAGCCAAAAGAACCUUUUGCAGAAAAUUCUAUUCUAGCCUAUCAUAUGCUUUAUUCAUGUCGAAUUUGAUUGCCAAGCUAUUCGACCCUCCCUUUCCUUUCCUAUUCAGGCUAUGGUAAACUUCUUGAACAAUAACAACGUUAUCCUGAAUGAGCCUUCCUCCCACAAACGCACUCUGCGUUGGCGAGACAAUAGCUUCCAACCACUUCUUCAGUCUUAGCACAAUUAUUCUUGAGAUUAUUUUAUAGAUGAAAUUGCAGCAGCUAAUUGGCCUAAGCUCAUUUAAACUUUCUGGAUUCUUUGUUUUCGGGAUAAGAACCAUUAUGGUCUCGUUUAUCUCUUCUGGUAUAUGUCUGCUACUGAAAAAAACUCUUACUACUACACAAACUUCCUUACUAAUUACCUCCCAAUGCUUCUGGUGGAAUAGCCCGUUCAAUCCAUCAGGUCUUGGAGCUUUAAGGCUACCCAUACUUAACACUGCCUUUCUUACCUCUUCAUUUGUAUUGUCCAUGAGCAUAUCUUUGUUAAUCUCCUCUGUAACUCGUUGUGGAAUCUUAUUAAUUAUGCUUUCAAAUCCAUGUCUAGUAGAAGAAGCAAAUAGUUUUUGAAAAUAUUCUUCAAUAUGCUCCAUAAUCUCGUUUGUGUUAUUUAACCAUUGACCAGAAGCAAUCUUCUGCCUUUCUAUUUUGUUUCUUUGUCUUCUGUGAAUAGUGGUGACAUGGAAGAAAGCCGUAUUUUUGUCUUCCCAUCUCAGCCAUUUUAAUCUAGACCGCUGCCCAAAAACUUCUCCUCUUGUCUCCAUAAUGUUGCUAUGUUCUCUUUCAAAAGUUGCAUCCUUCUUUGGUUCUCCUCUGUCUCUAUGAAGUUCAAACUCUGUAGUCUUUUCAAUCCCUCUUUCAUUCUCUUUUCAAUCCCUCUUUCAUUCUCUGGAUCUCUCUAUCGACUCUUUUAAAGGUAACUUUACUCCACUUCAAAAUGCAUCAUUAUCGUUGAUAUUUUUACCUUUGAUUAUAAAAUACGUCUAUGGGCCUUUUGGCCCCCCACUGAUCCAAAAAAAUAAAACAUGUAUGCAUGUUACAUGAUAGGUCAUUAGGUUGUAAUUCGGAUAAGUAUGCCUAUACGAAUAUUUGAUAAUCCGAUGCAUUUGCUGGCAUCUCAGCAGAUCUAACAAAAUCAAUAUUGAAGAUUACAGUUGCCCCAUCUAAGCUGCCGCUCGUUUUACUUGCAAAGGUAUGAAUUAAUUUUAUCUCCCACUCCCUUAAUAAAUUGGAGAUUUUCUGAUUGUUAAUGUCAAACGCUUUGUUUCUUAUUCCUUCAAAUAACAAAUAUAACACAGCCUUUGGUUCCUUGAAGAAAUUAACUCUUAAAAUUAGCAGAAAUGGCCAUUGUGUCUGGAGAAACAUUUAGAAAGGAUCUUCUUGAUAGCAGCAGUUUUCUGAGAAACCCAAAACAGGUGUGCUAAAUCUUUUUAUCACAAGCAUGUUUAGGACCUAAAAAGGAACACAAAACAAGUCGUAAUUGUCAUAAGUUGAGCCACUCAAUAUCUUACAAUUCACAAGUAGCAAAGGAGACAAUCAAGUUUCAUAUCACCCAUAUGUACUACAUAAUUGUUAUGACCAACUUACUCUUGCAUACAGUUUUUUGGUGGUUUAUCCUUUCGGCCUCUAUAGUCCUAUGUUUCAAAUGAUUUUGUACCCAAAAGUCAGCUAAAUGUGGCAGUUCUACAGCCUAACAAAAUCAGUCAAUAAUCAAAAUAAUGCACAAAAUGCUAAGUAAUCGGGUUUUACCAGUUAAUGCAUAUGCCGUCAAGGAAUUCAUGCUUUUUAUUAACCAAUCUAGCUACUAGCUAAGUUCUCUUCAAAUUUAAGUGUGUUGGCUGCUGUUAAAAGCAUGUCCAUUCCUCCAUCUUUCUCCAAUUCUCGUCCUUGUUUCCAUCUCUUGCCAAGCUUAUACUUAGGUUUUGAAACAUCUUCGCCAGUUCUAAAAUUGAAAUUCUCAUAUGUCUUUUUAGCCCGGCGUAUUGCUUGGAUCCCUGCAUCGCAUUUUCUGCAGAACCAGUUGCCUUUUGGAAUGGUAGUCCGUUUAGGCUCCAUGCAAUCGAUGUGGUAUCCAUGGUCGCAACCAUCACAGAGAACAAUCUUGUGAUCAUCUCGAUCGACGAGGCAAACUCGACAUAAACAAGAAGGGCAGUACCAACAGUGAGCAUAUGACUGGACCUGCUUAGUGGACAAACACCUUACAUGAUAGUAUUUACUAGGGCAUGAAUUGUGACCGCAUAUCCGUACAUCUUCUCCAUCUACUUCCUCCCUACAAAUUUUGCAAUCAGGCAAGUUUCUUCUCCCUAUGGACACCUCGAUCCCAUCAUAUGUACAAUUUGAAUUUUCCUCCAAUUCAUUGUGUGUUUCAUCAUUUGUAGGAAUGCUCUCAUCACCAACAAUGUUGUUCAAGGACUUUGGGGCAUUCAACCUUCCACACACCACACAAUUAUCAUGUGGAGAUCUUAUUUCAAUAGCAGUACAAUUGGCACAGAACCAGCUUUUUUCAGGUAAUUCCUUCAAAGCCGGCACAAUACAAGAUACAUGGUACAUCUCCUCACAUGAAUCACAAAUCAAGGAGUCUGUCCCAUCUGCCUUGCCUCCACAAUGCCUGCAACUGCAGACUUUAUCUGUAGCACAAACUUCUGUCUGCUGUGGUCUCAUAACAUUGUCCAAUGCAUAGUUAUGGAACUGUUUGACAAGAAAGCAUGAAAAGCAAUUCUCAAGACCAAUCUAAUAAAUCUGAGGCAAAAUCUUUAACCAUAUCAAGAGUGCAUUUUGUAAUGAUUCAAAAAUAAAUAAAUAAAUAGAAGGGUCUGCAUUUGUUGUGUAAAACAGAUCAUGUGCACCAUUUAUAGUGAAAGCCAGCAAAAUCUCCAAAUCUAACAGCCAGGACUUUCAGACAUUGAGUUUUAAAAAUAAAAAAGUCCCUCACCGAGCUGCCUACAACAAAUUCUUACUUACAUAAAGAAAAAGUGAACCACAAUAUUGAAUAUUAUAUUUCUUAGUCAAGAAAUAAUGUCCUCAGAUACAAAAAAACUUACCUCAACAGAAUUUUUUGAUUUCUUUGUUAAGUUUUUUUUUUCGGUUCUAUAAGUGUAUAACAUUAAUUUAACAAAAACAACGGCAUGUGCGCAGGGUGUGUGGAAGAUAGAGAUCAGAUUGACCCACAAGGCAAUCAAUCGGUUUAGUUAUGAGCCAACCAAAUUAAGAAAUUCCUUUAAUACAAUUUAGCUAAGUUAGGAAAUUUGGUUAUGGCAAUCACUGGUUACCAAUUCUGUUUUACCAACUCAGACUAAUGAACAAUAGCAUGGUAAUUCACUUUCAUUCAUACAUUCUGCACAAUCUAAGAUUCAUCAUCUUCCUCACUGCAGAAGCAUUUCUCAUAAAACUACAUGAUACUCAUGUUAUGGAACUCUUCAACACCUUCGAAAGAUAAACUUUGACAACAUCUGUUACAUACCUAGACAAUUAGAUAUUAACAACCUAAUUAUAACUGAGUGAACUAUGAACUAGGGUGGGUUUUGUAACUAGCCUAGCUGGCGAGUGAGAGAGUGAGCAUUGUGUCAUGAGAGAGAGGUGGGAACCAUAAAGGUCUGUCCAAAAGACACGAUAAAAAACUAGCAAUAAAGUCAUGAGGGAUAGCUUGCUUUAUGUCCUUUUCUCCAAUGGGUCUCUCCAAGAAGCAGCCUUUUCACGAGGGAUAGCUGCCAAUUUAAACUACAAAGGAAUGAUCUAGAAUACAUUUCCUCUAAAUGUGUCUGUUUAACAAGCUAACCAUCCCCACAAACCACUACUCAAUUAAACUUUUCCUCUUUCUCGCAAUAAUAAGCACCUUAUAAAAAAGCUUAGAAUUCACAUCCACUUCCAUUCGAAUUUGGCCUUUUGUCCCCAACUAAUUCUUUAAUCUUUAUUUCAACAAAAGAUCCUCAAACUCAUUUAACUGGGAACCCUUCUCACAAUAUUCACUAGAGAUAAGACCUUCCUUACCUAUCCUAUUUAAUGUCUCAAUUUCUUUCAGAAUUUCAUCCUUUUUUCACUAUAAAAUCAUUUUUUGUCACAGCUAUUAUGCUUUAGGAUACAGUUGAUUAAUAACCAAUACAAAUGAAUGUCAUUGGCUUUUGUCAGAGUACAAUAGGUGCAAGGGGAAAAGGAUUGCCACUACUUACUUUUUUCUUCAAUGAUUAGAAGGGGGUUCCACAACCUGGUGUGUGGAGGAACUCUAUGCCAAAGUUGAGGGAGGCUUUGGGGAGCAUUUGAACGUAUAUCAGUUAGUCCUGAAAGAGGCUAGACGUGCUUUGAGCUAAAACUCAAUGCUCUAUACUCUAUAGAGUUUGCUUCUUAACUUUUCCUUAGUUACUCUCCUUUCAAACUAGGUAUUUUGCAUGCAUCUCUCAAACAGAUGCUAUCUUGAAAAUGGAAAUUGUAACCUAUUCAGAUAAAUGCAAUAUUUUAUUUUUAAUUAAAGGACCAGGAAUCCAGCUAAGUAUUCUAUCAGAUGUGUAGAUUAAACCUACUUUCACCAAAUGCCACAGAAAAAAGAAACCCCCAUAAAAAGUACUCAAUAGAGGAAGAUAGGAAGUCUAAGCUAGGCCUAGGCUUAGAGAGGAAUAGCAGUAACUGUUUUCUGCCAGCUAGGAUAAAAGCUGCACUAGCUGUAGACAUUGGAAGGUCCAAACUGUACCCAUGGGGAUUACCCGCAACUGGGACUCGUGAAAUCCCCACAGGAACCCAUCAUAGAAGGAGACGGAGGUAGAGGUAUCAGCCCCAUGGGGACCGGCGAAAUCCCCGCAGAUUGAAAAUUUACUAAAAUGCCCUCACUUAUAUAUAAAAGUUGUAAGUUGUCUUCUUGGAUAUUUAACAUCUGUAUUAGAUUAGGUUAAAUUGUGUUUUGUGUUGCCUUAUGUUAAACUUUAUUGAAUUUUUGAAGGAUUGUGUUAUGGGUUUUGUACUAAAUUUAUUUAAAAAAUUUUGAAGGUAACAUGGAGGGGUAGCCACUAUCCCCUUGGCAACAAUUAAACGG